This 804-nucleotide ribosomal RNA is filed under the name uncultured bacterium. RNAcentral describes it as "bacterial SSU rRNA". It matches the Rfam family "Bacterial small subunit ribosomal RNA", at positions 99 to 926 of the family's 1533-position model. The record is from RNAcentral.
CGCACGGCUGAGGAACACGUGACUAACCUACCCCGGUGUGGGGGAUAACGGGUCGAAAGACUCGCUAAUCCCGCAUACGAUCCGCCUCGGCGGAGGAAAGCCGUAAGGCGCACUGGGCGGGGGUCGCGUCCCAUUAGAUAGUUGGUGUGGUAAUGGCGCACCAAGUCGAUGAUGGGUCUCUGGUCUGAGAGGACGACCAGACAGAUUGGGACUGAGACACGGCCCAAACUCCUACGGGGGGCAGCAGCAAGGAAUUUUCGGCAAUGGGCGCAAGCCUGACCGAGCAACGCCGCGUGGAGGAUGACGGCUCUUGGGUUGUAAACUCCUUUUGGGGGGGACGAUAAUGACGGUACCCUCCGAAUCAGGCCCGGCUAACUACGUGCCAGCAGCCGCGGUAAUACGUAGGGGCCAAGCGUUGUCCGGAAUUACUGGGCGUAAAGCGUGGGUAGGUGGUCGGUGAUGUGCCGCGUGAAAGCGCCGGAGUAAUGCCGGCGAGGUCGCGGUAGACACACGGACUCGAGGCUCGCAGAGGAACGUGGAAUUCCCGGUGUAGUGGUGAAAUGCGUAGAUAUCGGGAGGAACACCAGUGGCGCAAGCGGCGUUCUGGGCGAGACCUGACACUGAGCCACGACGGCGUGGGGAGCAAACAGGAUUAGAUACCCUGGUAGUCCACGCAGUAAACGAUGCAUACCAGGUGUGGGAUGGCGUUCGCGUCGUUCCGUGCCGCAGCUUACGCGAUGAGUAUGCCGCCUGGGGACUACGAGCGUAAGCUUAAGACUCAAAGGAAUUGACGGGGGCCCGCAC